This is a non-coding RNA of Camelina sativa (false flax), 4749 nucleotides long. NCBI's taxonomy places the organism in Eukaryota, Viridiplantae, Streptophyta, Magnoliopsida, Brassicales, Brassicaceae. The record is from RefSeq and is a predicted model, not a curated record.
UCUUCACCCCUCGCGAUCAGAGAGAAAAAAAAAAAAAAGUGUGUGAGANAGAGAGAGAGAGAGAGUUCUCUACUCUCGAAUGGUCGAUUGAUUUCUCCUCUCUCUCAUCUGACGCUCUCUCGUUGAUGCUGAUUUUUUAAAAACUAAAGAAAAUUCAGAGCACAAUUAGGGUUUUAUGACCCCCAAGCAUCAUCAAUCGUAUAUGAAAUCAGCUUCUUCCCCAACCCAUCAUCGUGUCGUGUGUGGUUUCCACGGGCGCUUCUUAUUCGAACGAGCAAGUUAAGAAGGAUCCGAUAUUGGUGCCCGGUGAGGAUUGGAGGACGUUGCUUGUUUUGUUUCCAUAGUUGGUGUUUCUUCUUCUGAUUUAACCGACGGCCAAGUACAGGUCAGAGACAUGGAUUGAAGAAUGAAGAAGAAGACUCAAGAAUAAUUAAGUUAACUCUGUUCUUCUUUGUUUUUUACUUGGAUUUUGAGAUUUACCAAGUUAUACUAACCUGCUUCUGAUGCUGUUUUCUCUUUCUCGUUUCAACUGAUCUUCUCUUUCUCUAUAUAUAUAUGGUGGUUCACUUCCUUUCCAUUACUGUUAAGGAUGAUGCUGAAUUAUGGACCCAAACGAUGGCAAAGAAAUCCUCUUCGUAUUGCUAUGUAAGUCAUCUCAAAGUUUUACUCUUUUCUUUAUCUUCUUCUGUUACAAGCUUAUCUCUAUCCUCUAACCAUGGAUACUCCUCUCCUUGCUUUGUAAGUGAUCUUAAAUUCUUCUACGUUUUUCUUUUCUUUGUCCUGUUUCAAGUUCAUCCUUGACUACCCAUUGAUCCUUUUUUUUCUUUGUUGAACAACAAGGUGCUACUGAAGUGGAACUGGACAAGGCCACAAAAUUCAACGCGGUGCUUUUUAACGGGGUUGUUUGUUUCUUUUUGGUUUAACAGCUUCUCUAGAUGAUGGAGAUAUACUUAUGGUGAUUCACUUCCUUCCCAUUACUGUUAAGAAUGAUGCUGAAUUAUGGACCCAAACGAUGGAAAGGACAUCCUCCUCUUAUUGCUCUGUGCUACUGAAGUUGGAACUCGACAAGGCACUAGAAUUCAACGCACCAUCCUUUCAACUAAAAGGUACUUGUCAUUGCCUCAUGCUGUUAAGCUGAUUUAAUGGUUGCUGCAGUAGUGCAGUAGCACUUGGGAUAAAAACAAAACAGAGGUGUUUGUCACAGCUGUCCGUGACUACAAACUGUCUCUCCAAAACUUGAAUGAUGAAAAAAAAAAGAAAGAGAAACAUACUUCUGGAGAGAAAAAAAACCAACAAACAAUGAGAGAGAAGUGAAGAUCGGAGAGCGUUCGGUGAUGAUUCUUGAAGAAUGAAGAAGAUUCAGAGCAGAAUUAGGGUUUACGAUUGAUUACCCAAACGACAACAACGACAUUUUUAAUUUAUAUGGUGCCAAGUGAGAAUCGGAGGAGCCGGAGGACGUUGCUUAUCGGGGUGGGAUGGUUUGAUGAAUGAAUGAUGUUUCAGAACUUGGGGAUUUAUGGUCAGAGAUGGAUUGAAGAAUGACGAAGAAGACUCGAAACUGCUUAAGGUUUGUUUGAUGAUGAUCGGAACAACAACAGCAAUGGUAAAAAAAUCCCAUCCUCUUCUUGAUGAAUUAGCAAGAUAUGGUGCAAGUGAUGAUCGGAGGAGAAGGAGCAGGCUGUUUCUUUCCAUGUGAUCCUAAUGGGAGUUAGAAAACUGUAUGAAUUCCGAGGUUUGUGUUCACAUCUUCUACUGUACGUGGCCUCGCAUCAUCUGCUUCAUGCCAAGAUUUGAAGGAUCAUAUGCGGGGAUAGCUGGUGAUGUGCGAUUUACUGAGGUCACUCGAGACAGUGGUGCGUCUACUUCCUUGUCCACUUCAAAUUCUCCCCAUCCACAUAAGUUGUGAUGCAUUCAUAUAAAACGAUGGUCCAAUCCUAUUCUGGACAUUGGAUUGGGGUUUGUUUCAGGAGUCUAGAUACGACGACGACGACGGUAUCUAUGAUAUUGUUAAUCUUCUGGAGAGUAUUGCGGAUGAUCGGAGGGGACAUUGUUUGUUUCCAUGGCGUUUCUUCUAAUUUGACCGAGCAAGUAGAGAUCGCGGAGAUGCUUUCAAGAAUCAAAACUGAUUCUAUUGGAUUGAUGGUGUUUGACCAAGUACAGAUAUAGAUACUACACUGUGCUUUUUGUUUGUCUCAAGGAGUCUCGUCAUCUGCUCACAGCUGAUAUAGGACAGGGCUCUUGGACUGCCACUAGAGCGGCCAAAGAGUGAACAUGGAGAGGGUACAUCAUCUCCAAAGGGAUUAUCCGGCCUUUGGCAACUUCUCUCGUCCAAGCCUGGGGUGGUGGUUAUGCAGCUUUUGCUUUUUCAGGCUGGUCCCUAAGCUUUAUGAAGUGUUUGGUGCCUCCUAUUCUAACUGAGCUGGGCAAGCAUGAUCUGGUUCUUUGGUGUGGGUUUUAUGGGUCUUUGGCAACAUCUCGUCUAAAGCGUGGGGGAUCACAAGUGGUGCUCAUGCAACUUUUGCCUUUUCAGGCUGGUACCCCAAGUUUUAUGAAGUGGUUGGUGCCUCCUAUCCUAACCGAGCAUGGGAAAGGUCAAGAACCACCCGUGGCCAAACUUUGAUUCUCAUAGCGGAGUGCUGCUUAACUAUUUAUCAUCUAACCGAAGCAAGGAUUGCUUGAUUAGAGACUUUGUAGAAACAUGGCACGAAGACGCAGUAGUUUUUUCUCCACCGAGGUAAUUGUUAAAUCCAACCCGUAUUUCGUCAGAUCAGCGCAGGUCUUUGAUGAAUGCAACGAACAAACUGAUAUUACAAAGGUGGAGAUCUAAACGAUGGAAGGGAUGUCGGUCUCCAGGCUUAUAAUUGGGAAUCUCACAAACAUGAUUGGUGGAGAAACUUGCACGGAGAAGUUCCCGGCGUCGCAAAUCUGGCUUUACUUUCUGCAUGGUUGCCACCAUCAUCUCAGUCUCUUGCCACCAGAAGCUGAUCUUCCACAUUACCUUUAUUCACUAAACUCAGCAUAUGGCUCUGAGCAUCUAUUGGAAUAUUUACUUCCUCAGAUGAAACAGUACAAAGUUGGUUGAUAUAGUUAUCAAUCAUCGUGUUGGGACAACUAGAGGACAUGGUGGAAUGUAUAACCGUUAUGAUGGAAUUUUCUUUAUACCGUGGGAUGAACACGCCGUGACUUCUUGUACCGGAGGACUGGAAAUAUAUAACCGGGUGGCUUCGUUGGCUUCGCAACACUGUUUGGUUUAAGGAUUUCCGUUUUGACGUUGCUAGGGGCAAACUAUGUGAAGGAAUACAUUGGAGCGUUUUUGAACCAUCCAGAAGGUCUCGUCGCCUAUGAAUCUCAUCGAGAAGAAUAUUUCAUAAUAGCUGAGCCUGAUCUUUAAAAAAUGGAUGUAACUACGCUACAUUAUUUUGUCUCUGAGGUCAUUUCUCGCCAGCUACUAUAAAUCUAGGUAAAUUUUGAGUUUUGUUUAACUUUCCACUCAUGCUCCUUGGUCUUUUAUAUAAGCUGACGUCGGGAAAACUAACCAUGCAUAGAAGCAAAAGAUGAUAUUGUUGUAUUUCAGGAACCAUUGGACACAUCGCUCAUGGAAAGUCCACUGUUGUGAAAGCUAUUUCUGGUGUGCAGGUAAAUAAUGACUAUGUUUUCCCCUUUUUCACAGUUCUAUAAGCACGAUUAAUUUGAAUCUAUGCUGUGAAUCUUGUUGCCGUCGAGAUUUUUGAAGAAUGAAGAAGAUUCAGAGCAUAAUUAGGGUUUACGAUUGACAUUAUACUUGUGGGCUAGUUUUAUUAAGUUGGGCCGGUUAAAAUGAAGGGAACAGCAAUAAACUAACGGGGGCAAAGUGGUCUUUAUGGUAUAGAGACUUAGGGCUAGGGUUUUUGACGAGCCGCUAGCUAUAUAAGAUCAUCUUCUUCAUUGCUCUGCUUCCUACAGUUCGUAUAUCUUUAGAACUGUCUUGUUCAAUCUCUUAGGGUUUUAUCUAUAUAUAACUAGAGUAUCUUUAGGUUAGCAGGAGCCUCCCGGGCUAAUCUGAUUACAAGAGAUGAGGAAGUAAGCCCCAAAGCUCCUGCUAGAUUUGUUUUUGGCCGUUUGUGUUGCAGAUUCGCCUUAUUCCUUAGGCUCUUCUGUGUCUAAAAAGCGGCUAUAUCUAUAUCUCUUUAAUGGUAGCCAUGUUCUUGUUUAGUGUUUUUGUUAAUGGGCGAUGAUUAUAAACUUACCCGCGCUUCUGAGAUGCUUCUUUAGGUCAAUGAAGCAUAUACGGUAAAAUACAUAGUUGAAUUUCUUAAUAUGAGCCUUAGAGUUCUUGUUUUCUCGUCUUCGAAGUUUUGCUCUUUUGAGUUAAUUUGUUUUGGGCAGUGAUGAUUAAUUGUAACAGCUUGAUACGCCAGUUCUGCUUCAGAUAAUUCUUGAUUGAAAAAGCUAUAUUCUUAUCUGAGCCUUUAUUAGUGUUUCUUUUACCAAAGUGUUUGUUUUCGAAUUAUUUGAAUUGUCGAUGAUGAUAUAAUCCAAUCUUACGAGGUGCAGUGGAGCUGAGACCCUGUUUUUCAGGGAGAACCCCUUGGCAGAAGCUGCAAUUUCUAUGAUUUCUUUGGGUUUUACUGAGACUUCACUUCAUUACUUUAUCGUUUUUGUUUUUUUGGUUUUCUUUAAUAAUGAAAUUUAUUUGAGUUUAAACUAUACACUUGCACUUGUAUCGUAGUGCCUGUAGUCUGAAAAAACUCAUAUAUCUUCAAGUGUUCU